CUUCUUCGCAUUUCCCUUCCCUAGCCAACCCUAGUUGCCACUGGUUUCACCACCAUCGAUGGCUUUCAUCGGCUGUUCUCUUCAUGCUGCUCUUACGCACCAUCCCAUGCCAUUUUGUGCCUAACGCAUUGAGUCCACCGACCUCCUCCUCCUUUUUCAUCUCUCUUAAACAAAGUUCAGUCUUUUUAUUAUUAUUAUUUUUCUAAUUUCAAAGAAAACAAACAAAAUUAGCCAAUCAAGUAAAAAAGCAAAAUUAAUUGAUGUUUUUGAUUCAUUGGGUCUGGGUUGCCCAAAGGGUGUGAUAUGGUGGCAGCUACUGCACUCCCUGUCGCUUUUCCAGAAAAGCUAAAGAGGAAAUUAAAGAUAAAAUCAUAAAAAAAUAAAAAAAAAUUUAUGGAGAUCUAAAACAACAAAAAAAGAAAAUCAAGAAGACAGAGUCUUUAAAAACAACAAAAACAUUUUGAAUGAACUUUUUUCUUCAAAGAAACGUCAUGCUUCAUCUAGAGUGAAAGAGAGAGCAAAGAGACGAAAAAUGGAAACAAAUAGAGAAGAAAAGGCUAACAUGUAGUAACCAAAAAGAACCUUAAAUAUGAGUUGCAUAAUGCUUCCAUGUUUUCUUUCCCUACCGUAACAAAAAACAAAUUAGAAACUUUGCAAUAAUAAUAAAAAAAAGCACAUAGAACUCCACCCAUUAGUUAUACACCUUCUUCCUCGGGGUUGUCUUCAUAUGCUGAAGUCAAUCAUAUUCUCUUCAUUUUCAAGCUUAAAUGUUGAAAAAGAAAAAAAACUUCAAACUUUGAUAGGAUUAAGGGUUGGGGCUAGGCUUAUCGAAAUCAAGGGAUAGUCUUGGGAGAUCCACCGGUGGGUUCGAUGUCCGAGGAAGCCACUGGCGAUGGUGGAAUCGGUGGCGGAUAGGGUUUACUGGAAAGGGAGAUAAGAUGGAAAGAAAGGAAGAAGAAGAAGAAGAAGAAAGGGAAAAGAGAGAAAAUAAAAUAAGGAAAAAAAGAAAAGAAA
This 1014-nucleotide long non-coding RNA is filed under the name Gossypium barbadense (sea-island cotton). Its description in RNAcentral is "long non-coding RNA (GBAR_LNC020810)". The record is from RNAcentral. Lineage: Eukaryota; Viridiplantae; Streptophyta; Magnoliopsida; Malvales; Malvaceae.